RNAcentral lists this non-coding RNA (65 nucleotides) under Gordonia malaquae. The record is from RNAcentral. RNAcentral also lists the same sequence under 1 other name. Lineage: Bacteria; Bacillati; Actinomycetota; Actinomycetes; Mycobacteriales; Gordoniaceae.
GGAGUGGCCGGAACUCGGCCCCCGGACGAGCACACCGUACCCGGCCUGCGACAAGACGGUGUUUG